This 600-nucleotide long non-coding RNA is filed under the name Parus major (Great Tit). Its description in RNAcentral is "lncRNA (ENSPMJG00000001758.1)". The record is from RNAcentral. Lineage: Eukaryota; Metazoa; Chordata; Aves; Passeriformes; Paridae.
UUCUGCUCUGGUGACAAGGCUGGGAUCAGUCACAGGUCGGACUCGAUGAUCUCAGAGGUCGUUUCCGGCCUCAGUGAUCUGUGAUUCUGUGAUUUUCUGCCCUAUCUAUUCUAGACAUAACUUGGAGGAUCCCCUGCAUUUCCAGGCUGUCACAGUGGCGUUGUUCUUUCUUUCCUUUUCAGAAAUUCCCCAUUUCUCAUCCCUCCAGAUCCGGAUGAUCUGCUGCCGGUGACGCUCGUGGGGGAAGUAGGGUCUUGGUGGCCUUUCCUUCACCCCAUGUUUGAUGGCAUUGCUCUCUCAGCAGCCCAGUGCUGAUGACUAACAGUUCCUGGUGAAGCACCAAGUGUGCUGCUUUGUGUUUUUUUCAAGAAUUUUUCCAGCUGGCGAGGCGUGACCUUGGAUAUUUCACAUGUGGGAACGUGGCCGGAACGCGCGGCGUGACUCACAUUGACCUCAACAGUGAUUGGCAGGAAUUUUAUGAGGCUCACAGCACUGUCCUUAGAGAAACCAGCGGGAUCUUGGCACUGGUGUCUCAGGACUGGGGACUCUUCCCUCCAGGUGAUGAUUCCUCAGGUGAGUUUCUUUGCAGACAACUAAAAA